GCUAUCCUGUGAAUCCUUGCAUCAAUAUUUAUAGCUGUCACACUCAAAUAAUGUAAACCGGAUUGUAUGCAAUAAUCAAGAAAAUCAAGCAUAAAUUCCUCCUUAUUAUGUUAUUACUACUUAGUUCAGUUUGUUAAUAAUAGUGACAAGUGUAAAUUAAAAAUUUAUAACACCCCCGA
Molecule: long non-coding RNA, 179 nt
Organism: Maniola jurtina (meadow brown)
Lineage: Eukaryota; Metazoa; Arthropoda; Insecta; Lepidoptera; Nymphalidae
Exons: 2
Source: RefSeq, a predicted model, not a curated record